Molecule: long non-coding RNA, 667 nt
Filed under: Fukomys damarensis (Damara mole-rat)
Lineage: Eukaryota; Metazoa; Chordata; Mammalia; Rodentia; Bathyergidae
Description: lncRNA (ENSFDAG00000023971.1)
Source: RNAcentral
GACAGGACCAGAAGUGUAUUCACCCUUCUCAGCUCCUCCCUUCACUGAUCGCUAUGCUGUGAGCGGCUUUCCUCUCCCUGCCCCUCUGUAAUGCCAUUGGCUACGGAGCCAGCUAAAUAUGGAUUAAAAUGUGAGCCAAAAUGAGCACCUCCACCUUCAAGUUGUGGGUAUCCUGCAUGUAUCCCAGCAAGGAGAAAGUUACUAAGACAAAGCUAAAAGUGAGACUCUUAGGUAACGAAAGGUCAGAUUUUAAACUUCAGCCAAGGAUUUCUAACUAUUAAUGAGAAUGUAGCAAGAGCCACAGUUCAGCUGCCUGUCUCAGCGCAAAGUGACAGGGCAACUAGAGGCCGGGUACACGAUGCUGCUUUGGCCCGCAGCCCUCAGUGUACAGCCACCAGCUCAGCAAGCUGCUGCACUGUGAGGACGAGCCAGGUGGCAGCCUCCGACAGCAGGUUCGCAGAAACAGAAGAACUGAAGACAUUCAGCUGCAAGAAGGAAGCAAGAAAAUGAUUCUAAGAACGAAGAACAACAAAAAUGCCUUGCAGCUGAGGAAGGAAGACAGAAAGGCCCUUCACAGGGAGUAAGAGAACUCAAGUCUCAGCUCGGGGUUAGACAGGAGUGAGAGGACCCUUUGCAUCGCUCCUUACUAAGCCUAAGUAUUGCUCCA